UCGUGCUAGACGGGGAGCUGGCGGUGCCCUGUACCCGCAAUCCGCCAUAGCGGGGUCGAAUCCCCCCCAGAGGACAUAGCGCGUGCGGGACUGUCGAGGUCAGAAGGCGUUGAGGGGUGGGUCCUGCGCGGCAGGAGCCUCCGAACCCCGCCAGGUCCGGGAGGAAGCAACGGUAAGGAGUCCCUCCUGGGUGCCGCAGGGGUGCCUGCCCGGAGCCGGAUGGCCGAGACAAGCCGUGCGAGGCGGUUCGAAGGGGGGUGCACGA
This 265-nucleotide signal recognition particle RNA is filed under the name Anaerolineae bacterium. RNAcentral describes it as "signal recognition particle sRNA large type". It matches the Rfam family "Bacterial large signal recognition particle RNA". From Rfam's summary of the family: The signal recognition particle (SRP) is a universally conserved ribonucleoprotein involved in the co-translational targeting of proteins to membranes. Archaeal SRP consists of a 7S RNA and homologues of the eukaryotic SRP19 and SRP54 proteins. The record is from RNAcentral. Lineage: Bacteria; Bacillati; Chloroflexota; Anaerolineae. RNAcentral also lists the same sequence under 1 other name.